Molecule: ribosomal RNA, 253 nt
Filed under: uncultured bacterium
Lineage: Bacteria
Description: partial 16S ribosomal RNA
Rfam family: Bacterial small subunit ribosomal RNA
Source: RNAcentral
UACGUAGGGGGCAAGCGUUGUCCGGAUUUAUUGGGCGUAAAGAGCGUGUAGGCGGCUAGGUAGGUCCGUUGUGAAAACUCGAGGCUCAACCUCGAGACGCCGAUGGAAACCAUCUAGCUAGAGUCCGGAAGAGGAGAGUGGAAUUCCCGGUGUAGCGGUGAAAUGCGCAGAUAUCGGGAAGAACACCCGUGGCGAAGGCGGUUCUCUGGGACGGUACUGACGCUGAGACGCGAAAGCGUGGGGAGCGAACAGG